This is a long non-coding RNA of Lotus japonicus, 1604 nucleotides long. RefSeq lists it as uncharacterized. The record is from RefSeq and is a predicted model, not a curated record. Lineage: Eukaryota; Viridiplantae; Streptophyta; Magnoliopsida; Fabales; Fabaceae. The transcript has 2 exons.
CUAAAAUGUUGCUGCAAAUUUUUUCUAGGGUUGUAAAAUCUUUAUGUAAUCAGUUACUAAGUUACAAACAUUGACCUUAAAAAUAAUGCAACUUGGAAGAAUGAAGAAAGGAAUGACUGUAACGUAGAGCUAGAGACAUACAAAUGUCUCAAUUGAAUAUUAAUUGAUUAUUUUGUGCUGAGGUAUCAAUAAUUAAAUUUGGUGUUUAGUUAUCAAGCCUCGGCUGUCCACAUCAUACAUUACGUGCAGUGAGUUGGGUUGUCACUUCUUAUGAUAACAUUUGUCUAUAUAUCUUGUAAUCCUUCUUGCUUUUUUGUUGUACUCCUCUGUCGUUUGCUUCAUAAUCCUUUGAUAGAGUUCACUUAUUGAAUUUGGACUAAGAUAUGCAGGGCAAAGAGACAAUGAUAUUGAAGAGCAAAGAAUUAUUGAUUGCUAAUCACAAGCCUUGGUGCCAUCUGUUUUGAACAAUGAGACUCCAAUGUCAUUUUAACGAUGCAGCUCAGAAGCGUCGCAACGAUGGGGAGUUAACUGAUGAUUUUACCACAACAAAGACACUUAUAGAAGCUCAUUCAUUAGGUUUUAAGGUUCUAAGAUGGAUGAGUUAAACUUAUAAGGUUCCAGGUUGUUGCCAUGGGCUGGAGCUGAGUGAGAACUCCUCCUGAAGUCAACCAAACCAACUACUCUUAUUAUUCUCUUAAACAAGAUUUAGUUAGGUAGAUUAGUACUUAACGUGCAAUCAUUGAGACAAUAUCUUUUUAUUACUGAACAACAAAUUGAACACUUGCCAAGGAUUAUCAGGAAGUCUUCAUUAACAAGGCUUCACAAGCUUGAUAUUAAGACAAGGUGAGUGUGAGAGAGUAGAAAUUUGGAAAGGAUGGAACUAUUUUAAUUGGACUUGGUGUGCCAAGAUGAUUGUGUAUUUGGCAAGGAUAUUUUCUAGGACAAGGACUUUGUUACUAUGAAUACACAAAACUAGCAACUUUUUAGGGGAGUACCAAAAUAGCAUAUUUUCAUAAACGGAGGAAUAUAAACUUUUUUUUUGGCAGUGUCAAAAAUCAGAUUAAAUCCUAUUAAAAAUAAAAAAAACAUAUUUAACCUAAAUAUUCAUCUUGGCCGGCUUCUCAGCCACCCUACCUAAGGACAUCCUAGCCGACCAAAAGUCAUGCACCUGGGCAUCCAUCACAAGGUCUGACACGAUGGCUCAGGAGAAAACGUCUCGCCCAACAGUGUCUGCUUGACCGAGAUCAACAAGUCAAGAUAAGGCGGCCCAAGGCCACUUAUCCACUCAGACGUCAAGUACUACUGAUUUUAAUGAUUUUAUUCAUUAAAAUCAUAUUAUUUAGAGUUCUAAGUUUCUGAGAACCUCUUUCACUCAAACACUGACUUGAGCAUCGAGUGUUUACCGCAGGUACCUCCUCCACGACCCACGCGCCAUGCAACCUGAAGCUCUGCCCUGACUUCUAGGAUAAACACGACGUAAUUCUGUCGCAAUCCAUCACCUCAACUAAGAGAGAUUCGCACCAGAUUGUUUGGAUUAGCACAUCUAUAUCUAUGAGAAAAGCUUAAAUCUUAUAUGAAUGUUUUAAGUUACUGUAUUUGCUUUA